This 478-nucleotide ribosomal RNA is filed under the name uncultured bacterium. RNAcentral's name for it is "partial 16S ribosomal RNA". It matches the Rfam family "Bacterial small subunit ribosomal RNA", at positions 28 to 523 of the family's 1533-position model. The record is from RNAcentral.
GACGAACGCUGGCGGCGUGCUUAACACAUGCAAGUCGAACGGUAAGGCCUUUCGGGGUACACGAGUGGCGAACGGGUGAGUAACACGUGGGUGAUCUGCCCUGCACUUCGGGAUAAGCCUGGGAAACUGGAUCUAAUACCGGAUAGGACCCUGGGAUGCAUGUCCUGGGGUGGAAAGCUUUUGCGGUGUGGGAUGGGCCCGGGGCCUAUCAGCUUGUUGGUGGGGUGAUGGCCUACAAAGGUGACGACGGGUAGCCGGCCUGAGAGGGUGACCGGCCACACUGGGACUGAGAUACGGCCCAGACUCCUACGGGAGGCAGCAGUGGGGAAUAUUGCACAAUGGGCGCAAGCCUGAUGCAGCGACGCCGCGUGAGGGAUGACGGCCUUCGGGUUGUAAACCUCUUUCAGCACCGACGAAGCGCAAGUGACGGUAGGUGCAGAAGAAGGACCGGCCAACUACGUGCCAGCCGCCGCAGUAA